UUUCUUGCAGGUGCUCAGGGAAGUAAGGAAGUUUUAUCUCUGGAAUUGUGGUUGAAAUGUGCUACAGAAAUUUCAGGGAUAAAGAAGAAAACCACUAGAGUUUCUCUGACCAUCAGCUCCCCAACGAAUGAAACCUCCAACAACAGAUCAAGUUACUCUAACUUAGUUCAACAACUGUAUAUUAAUCCCUAGAGGAUGCAGAGUCCCUGCAGCAGCCUGUCAGGAUCCACUUGUGUAGUACCCUCUGUGUUUACCAAGCAUCUUCAAGACAUCCCUACAACCAGAGGUCAGUUGGUCAUGUUUGAAUGCGGAAUCCAGGCCACAGCCACAGUUCAAGUUCACUGAGAAAUUAGGAAAAAAUGAUUCUCUUCGGUGAAAAAGGCCACCUCAGUAUUAGUGUGUUCAACAGUGGUUCAUAUUCAGAGAAGAUAUAGUCAUCUGGUCUAAUCUUCACAUUAGGGAUGAAGAAAGUCUGGAAGUUUAUCAUCCAUUCCUGGAAGUCUGCACCUUGAUUAUCACAGAAGCAUUUCCUGAAGACUCUGAGGAGUUCAAGUGUAUUGCAGAAAAUGAGGCUGGCACUGCAGCUUCUGCAACAAACUCUUAGUUUCCCCAGGUAAUAACUCUUCAAAAUCUCUUUGCUACAAUUCAGCCCUGAGCCAAAAGGAAGAGUCUUUGUUUCCAUCUGAACUCAUGAUUAAUUAUAUUUUUGAAAGAAAGUAGUAGAGAAAUCAGAGCGUCCUCCCAAGUUAUCCAUGAGCAAAUUUUCUCCAAAACUGGCCUCCUCUCUCUGGAGCACCAAAAGCUACACAAAGGACACAAAUCCAAACGAUACCCCCAUAAACUUUAUGCCAAUUACUCCUGAACCAGCCAGUCAUAAUGAACAUGAGAUCCAGUUUCCAAAGAAGGAUUUCUGUACCAUCAGUGGAAAUACUUUUGAGCUACAAGCACAAUAGUAAAGGGAGACAGACCCAACAUUCAUUCAUUCAACAAAUAUUCCUGGUUCUGUAGAUAGAUCAUGACAAAGCUCCUGUCCUCAGGGAGUUUGCAUUCUGACAUGAGUCACUUUAUGUCGGUCCUCCCUUGCUUUUCAGUAUGCAUUUCACCAUGGCUGAAAUAUUAAGCCCUGUGCUUAGAUUCACAGUUAAGGGUUUAUUACACAGAUUUAUUGAAAAAAAAAAUCAGGCCAGGCACGGUGACUCACACCUGUAAUCUUAGAACUUUG
Molecule: long non-coding RNA, 1222 nt
Organism: Homo sapiens (human)
Lineage: Eukaryota; Metazoa; Chordata; Mammalia; Primates; Hominidae
Exons: 7
Source: RefSeq, a predicted model, not a curated record